Molecule: long non-coding RNA, 362 nt
Filed under: Homo sapiens (human)
Lineage: Eukaryota; Metazoa; Chordata; Mammalia; Primates; Hominidae
Description: non-protein coding GMDS-DT:93
Source: RNAcentral
AGGCCGCGGCUUCGCGUCCCGCCUCUCGCCUGGCUGGCCGUGGGGGGCCUGGACGCAGUGGCCUCCCGAAUCUCCCAGGACCCUAAUAUCGCCCGAGGAUGCUGGGAGGAACGCUGAGCCGACCUCUCCGUUAGGCUGAAGAUUGCACAAACCAUGCUAAUGGCCAGCAUGGAUGGAGGGAGCGUGUGAGAUGUGUGGGGCAGCGUGCUGCAUCUCAGCCAACUCCAGGAGCCAGUUGAUGUGAUGGACUACCUUAAUUGAUUUUUGAAUGUUGAGCCAGCCUUAUGCAUGUGGGAUAAACCCCUGUUGAUCAUGGAAGCAUGCUCAUGGCAAUACCCGGAGUCUCCACUGCAAGACCAGAG